GGUUAAGCGACUAAGCGUACACGGUGGAUGCCCUGGCAGUCAGAGGCGAUGAAGGGCGUGCUAAUCUGCGAUAAGCGCCGGUAAGGUGAUAUGAACCGUUAUAACCGGCGAUACCCGAAUGGGGAAACCCAGUGUGACUCGUCACACUAUCAUUAACUGAAUCCAUAGGUUAAUGAGGCGAACCGGGGGAACUGAAACAUCUAAGUACCCCGAGGAAAAGAAAUCAACCGAGAUUCCCCCAGUAGCGGCGAGCGAACGGGGAGGAGCCCAGAGCCUGAAUCAGCAUGUGUGUUAGUGGAAGCGUCUGGAAAGGCGCGCGAUACAGGGUGACAGCCCCGUACACAAAAGCGCAUGUGCUGUGAGCUCGAUGAGUAGGGCGGGACACGUGGUAUCCUGUCUGAAUAUGGGGGGGACCAUCCUCCAAGGCUAAAUACUCCUGACUGACCGAUAGUGAACCAGUACCGUGAGGGAAAGGCGAAAAGAACCCCGGCGAGGGGAGUGAAAAAGAACCUGAAACCGUGUACGUACAAGCAGUGGGAGCACAGGUUUACCUGUGUGACUGCGUACCUUUUGUAUAAUGGGUCAGCGACUUAUAUUCUGUAGCAAGGUUAACCGCAUAGGGGAGCCGGAGGGAAACCGAGUCUUAAUUGGGCGUUAAGUUGCAGGGUAUAGACCCGAAACCCGGUGAUCUAGCCAUGGGCAGGUUGAAGGUUGGGUAACACUAACUGGAGGACCGAACCGACUAAUGUUGAAAAAUUAGCGGAUGACCUGUGGCUGGGGGUGAAAGGCCAAUCAAACCGGGAGAUAGCUGGUUCUCCCCGAAAGCUAUUUAGGUAGCGCCUCGUGAAUUCAUCUCCGGGGGUAGAGCACUGUUUCGGCUAGGGGGCCAUCCCGGCUUACCAACCCGAUGCAAACUGCGAAUACCGGAGAAUGUUAUCACGGGAGACACACGGCGGGUGCUAACGUCCGUCGUGAAGAGGGAAACAACCCAGACCGCCAGCUAAGGUCCCAAAGUCAUGGUUAAGUGGGAAACGAUGUGGGAAGGCCCAGACAGCCAGGAUGUUGGCUUAGAAGCAGCCAUCAUUUAAAGAAAGCGUAAUAGCUCACUGGUCGAGUCGGCCUGCGCGGAAGAUGUAACGGGGCUAAACCAUGCACCGAAGCUGCGGCAGCGAACGUAUCACUUAAAGCGAUUCAGCGGGUUACGAUUGACGGAGCGAAGCGACGUCAAAGCGUAUACAAAGUCGAGUCGGUUUAAGGAUACGUUCGUUGGGUAGGGGAGCGUUCUGUAAGCCUGCGAAGGUGGCCUGUGAGGGUUGCUGGAGGUAUCAGAAGUGCGAAUGCUGACAUAAGUAACGAUAAAGCGGGUGAAAAGCCCGCUCGCCGGAAGACCAAGGGUUCCUGUCCAACGUUAAUCGGGGCAGGGUGAGUCGACCCCUAAGGCGAGGCCGAAAGGCGUAGUCGAUGGGAAACGGGUUAAUAUUCCCGUACUUGGUGUUACUGCGAAGGGGGGACGGAGAAGGCUAUGUUGGCCGGGCGACGGUUGUCCCGGUUUAAGCGUGUAGGUGUGUGUUCCAGGUAAAUCCGGUUCACUUUAACACUGAGGCGUGAUGACGAGGCACUACGGUGCUGAAGCAACAAAUGCCCUGCUUCCAGGAAAAGCCUCUAAGCAUCAGGUAACAUCAAAUCGUACCCCAAACCGACACAGGUGGUCAGGUAGAGAAUACCAAGGCGCUUGAGA
This 1738-nucleotide ribosomal RNA is filed under the name Salmonella enterica subsp. enterica serovar Agona str. 400095 14. Its description in RNAcentral is "bacterial LSU rRNA". It matches the Rfam family "Bacterial large subunit ribosomal RNA", at positions 1 to 1695 of the family's 2925-position model. The record is from RNAcentral. Lineage: Bacteria; Pseudomonadati; Pseudomonadota; Gammaproteobacteria; Enterobacterales; Enterobacteriaceae.